GACGAACGCUGGCGGCGUGCUUAACACAUGCAAGUCGAACGGCAAGGCCCUGCUUUUGUGGGGUGCUCGAGUGGCGAACGGGUGAGUAACACGUGAGUAACCUGCCCUUGACUUUGGGAUAACUUCAGGUAACUGGGGCUAAUACCGGAUAGGAGCUCCUGCUGCAUGGUGGGGGUUGGAAAGUUUCGGCGGUUGGGGAUGGACUCGCGGCUUAUCAGCUUGUUGGUGGGGUAGUGGCUUACCAAGGCUUUGACGGGUAGCCGGCCUGAGAGGGUGACCGGCCACAUUGGGACUGAGAUACGGCCCAGACUCCUACGGGAGGCAGCAGUGGGGAAUAUUGCACAAGGGGCGGAAGCCUGAUGCAGCAACGCCGCGUGCGGGAUGACGGCCUUCGGGUUGUAAACCGCUUUCGCCUGUGACGAAGCGUGAGUGACGGUAAUGGGUAAAGAAGCACCGGCUAACUACGUG
RNAcentral lists this ribosomal RNA (468 nucleotides) under uncultured bacterium. Its description in RNAcentral is "partial 16S ribosomal RNA". It matches the Rfam family "Bacterial small subunit ribosomal RNA", at positions 28 to 507 of the family's 1533-position model. The record is from RNAcentral.